AGGCCGUGAUGGGGACACUUGCAUAAUAGCUCCUUGAACCUUUCCCAAGUUUCAUAUAAGGAUUCCCCAUCCUCUUGUGAAUAUGUAUUAAUUUCAGUCAUUAACUU
RNAcentral lists this small nucleolar RNA (107 nucleotides) under Helianthus annuus (common sunflower). RNAcentral describes it as "Plant small nucleolar RNA R71". It matches the Rfam family "Plant small nucleolar RNA R71". Rfam says of the family: R71 is a member of the C/D box family of snoRNAs containing the C (UGAUGA) and D (CUGA) box motifs. Multiple nearly identical copies of this snoRNA have been identified in Arabidopsis, and it is thought to function as a 2'-O-ribose methylation guide for 18S ribosomal RNA. Lineage: Eukaryota; Viridiplantae; Streptophyta; Magnoliopsida; Asterales; Asteraceae. The record is from RNAcentral.